This 494-nucleotide ribosomal RNA is filed under the name uncultured bacterium. RNAcentral describes it as "partial 16S ribosomal RNA". It matches the Rfam family "Bacterial small subunit ribosomal RNA", at positions 28 to 523 of the family's 1533-position model. The record is from RNAcentral.
GAUGAACGCUAGCGGCAGGCUUAACACAUGCAAGUCGAGGGGUAUAGGUUUUCGGACCUAGAGACCGGCGCACGGGUGCGUAACGCGUAUGCAAUCUACCUUUCACAGAGGGAUAGCCCAGAGAAAUUUGGAUUAAUACCUCAUAGUAUUACGAGAUGGCAUCAUUUUGUAAUUAAAGUCACAACGGUGAAAGAUGAGCAUGCGUCCCAUUAGCUAGUUGGUAAGGUAACGGCUUACCAAGGCUACGAUGGGUAGGGGUCCUGAGAGGGAGAUCCCCCACACUGGUACUGAGACACGGACCAGACUCCUACGGGAGGCAGCAGUGAGGAAUAUUGGACAAUGGGCGCAAGCCUGAUCCAGCCAUGCCGCGUGCAGGAUGACGGUCCUAUGGAUUGUAAACUGCUUUUGCACAGGAAGAAACAACGCUACGUGUAGCGUCUUGACGGUACUGUGAGAAUAAGGAUCGGCUAACUCCGUGCCAGCAGCCGCCGUAA